AGGCUUUGCAGCUUUAGCUGAUUUUGCAUUUGCUGAAGACACAGCCCCAGAUGAAGCAGGAGGUGCCUUGCCACCCUCAGCUUUUGCAGCAGCUUUUGCAGCUCGUUGAGCCUCUUGAAGGGCACGCCUUUCAGCUUUAGUCGUUUUCUCCUUCAAUGGCUUUGAAUGUGUAGUUCGGUCAUUUUGAAGUUCUGCUGCCACUCCAGCCUUUUCAGAUAGACCAGGAGGUAAAUUGACCACGGAAACGGUCGUCAAUCCACUUGCUGGAACGCUACUCGCUGCUGGCAUAUCAAAUCCUCCCCCAGGAAAACUACUCGACGCGGCUCCAGCCCUUCCUCCCCUACCCACCCAAGCUACGUCAUCCGAGGAAGAAGUAGCGGCAGUAGGAGAUGUAGCCGGCAUGAAAUCGGAGGCAUUGUAGCUGCCGACGGGGACAGUGUCUCGACGAAGAGGAGACAAGGGGGCAGAGGCGUGACGUGGUGGAGGUAUCAUGACUGGAGAGAGGGAGUUGGCACCGGAGGGAGAGAGGUCGGCUAUUGUUGGAGGCAAAGAGGAGAUAUGGUCAGGUGGGCCAGAUUGGGAUCGGUCAGGUAUGGCGGCUCCGGGAGCAAAGAAGCCGACUUGGCGGACCUUCGGGUCGCUGACGGUGCGUGGUGCUCGCCGAGGGUCCAUGGAGAGGGCAGUUACAGGGACAUGGAAAGGGAAAUGGAAAUCAGAGAGACUGUAUUGCUUUCAAUGGGAAAAUUUGAGGGAUUGGUAGAGUGCGAUUUUC
This 772-nucleotide unclassified non-coding RNA is filed under the name Hevea brasiliensis (rubber tree). The record is from RNAcentral. Lineage: Eukaryota; Viridiplantae; Streptophyta; Magnoliopsida; Malpighiales; Euphorbiaceae.